ACUCAAAUGAAUAGACGGGGACCCGCACAAGCAGCGGAGCAUGUGGUUUAAUUCGAAGCAACGCGAAGAACCUUACCAGGGCUUGACAUCCCCCUGAAAGCUAAGUAAUGUUAGCCGCCUUCGGGCAGGGGAGACAGGUGGUGCAUGGUUGUCGUCAGCUCGUGUCGUGAGAUGUUGGGUUAAGUCCCGCAACGAGCGCAACCCUUGUCAUUAGUUGCCAUCAUUAAGUUGGGCACUCAAAUGAGACUGCCGGGGAUAACUCGGAGGAAGGUGGGGAUGACGUCAAAUCAUCAUGCCCCUUAUGUCCUGGGCUACACACGUGCUACAAUGGCCGGUACAGCGAGAAGCAAAGGAGCGAUCCGGAGCGGACCUCAAAAACCGGCCCCAGUUCGGAUUGUGGGCUGAAACCCGCCCGCAUGAAGCCGGAGUUGCUAGUAAUCGCGGAUCAGAAUGCCGCGGUGAAUGCGUUCCCGGGUCUUGUACACACCGCCCGU
This 494-nucleotide ribosomal RNA is filed under the name uncultured bacterium. RNAcentral describes it as "bacterial SSU rRNA". It matches the Rfam family "Bacterial small subunit ribosomal RNA", at positions 899 to 1397 of the family's 1533-position model. The record is from RNAcentral.